GAUGAACGCUAGCGGCAGGCUUAACACAUGCAAGUCGAGGGGCAACACGGGUAGCAAUACCUGGUGGCGACCGGCGCAAGGGUGCGUAACGCGUGAGCAACAUGCCCUAUACAGGGGGAUAAUCCAGGGAAACUUGGUCUAAUAUCCCAUAGUAUUUAGAGGUGGCAUCACCACUAAAUUAAAGCUUCGGUGGUAUAGGAUUGGCUCGCGUGACAUUAGCUGGAUGGUGGGGUAACGGCUCACCAUGGCGAUGAUGUCUAGGGGUUCUGAGAGGAAGACCCCCCACACUGGGACUGAGACACGGCCCAGACUCCUACGGGAGGCAGCAGUGAGGAAUAUUGGACAAUGGAUGGAAAUCUGAUCCAGCCAUGCCGCGUGCAGGAAGACGGCCCUAUGGGUUGUAAACUGCUUUUAUAUGGGAGCAAUAAGGUCUACGUGUAGACUGAUGAGAGUACCAUAUGAAUAAGCAUCGGCUAA
RNAcentral lists this ribosomal RNA (477 nucleotides) under uncultured bacterium. RNAcentral's name for it is "bacterial SSU rRNA". It matches the Rfam family "Bacterial small subunit ribosomal RNA", at positions 28 to 500 of the family's 1533-position model. The record is from RNAcentral.